CAUUGGUGGUUCAGUGGUAGAAUUCUCGCC
This 30-nucleotide non-coding RNA is filed under the name Xenopus tropicalis (tropical clawed frog). RNAcentral also lists the same sequence under 7 other names. Lineage: Eukaryota; Metazoa; Chordata; Amphibia; Anura; Pipidae. The record is from RNAcentral.